This is a non-coding RNA of Cajanus cajan (pigeon pea), 1641 nucleotides long. The record is from RefSeq and is a predicted model, not a curated record. Lineage: Eukaryota; Viridiplantae; Streptophyta; Magnoliopsida; Fabales; Fabaceae.
UCUGAAUAAAAAAAUGCGUAUAUAAUUGUUAAAUGGUGCAACCAUUAAAACGAAGCCAACUACUACUCUAAAAUCGCGUUCCACCCUCACUUUUCAGUUCUCACACCCAAACAGAAAUGGCUUGUCUUCAAUUCCUUCCGCAAGCGCUAUCAGAAACCCCUUCCAAACUGCUUCACCGCCGAUUCCAUCGCCACUGCCUCGUUGCUAAACGCACCUCUCUCAGCGGCUCCAACCAAUCUGGGGACUCGCUUCAUUCUAAAACUCAAGUGUCUCGUGUUCCGCUUUUGACUUCCUCGGAGGCCUAUGAAAGGCUAAAAACGUUCAGAGGAAAGAUAAAUGGCAAGCAACAAUUCCUUGCCAUGUAUUCUAGUAUAUUUGGUGGGAUAACAACAGACCCAGCUGCUAUGGUUAUUCCCAUGGAUGACCACAUGGUCCAUAGGGGCCACGGUGUAUUUGAUACUGCAGCAAUAGUGGACGGAUACUUAUAUGAGCUAGAUCAACACCUUGACCGCUUUUUAAGUUCAGCAUCCAUGUCUAAAAUAGAUCCCCCAUUUGAUCGUGGAAGCAUACGAAGAAUACUCAUAGAAACUGUAAGUGCUUCCAAGUGUAGAAAAGGGUCACUAAGAUAUUGGCUCUCAGCAGGACCUGGUGACUUUCAGUUAUCACCCUCUGGCUGCCACCAAUCAAGUCUUUAUGCAGUAGUAAUACAGGAUCUGUCACCAUCGUCGCUUAAUUUCAAGGGAGUUAAAGUCAUUACUUCAUCUAUCCCCAUUAAAGACCCCCAGUUUGCUAUCACUAAGAGUGUGAAUUAUCUUCCAAAUGUGCUCUCAAAGGUGGAAGCUGAAGAAGCUGGUGCUUUUGUGGGCAUUUGGCUUGAUGGGGAAGGUUUUGUUGCUGAAGGGCCUAAUAUGAAUGUGGCUUUUGUCACUAAAGAGAAGGAACUUAUAAUGCCUUACUUUGACAAAAUUUUAAGUGGCUGCACCGCUAAGAGAGUUUUAACCCUUGCUGAGAGUUUGUUAAGGGAGGGUAAGCUUAAGGGAAUAAUGGUGAAAAAUGUGACUGUUGAGGAAGGUAAGAAAGCGGAUGAAAUGAUGCUUCUUGGCAGUGGAGUUCUUGUUUGCCCUGUAGUGCAGUGGGAUGAGCAGGUUAUUGGUGAUGGUAAAGAAGGCCAUAUAACACAGGCUCUUUUAAAUCUAAUUGUUGAGGACAUGAAAUCAGGACCCUCUACUGUUCGUACACUUAUUCCUUAUUGACACAACUUUAUUUCCUUCUCCAACUUUUGUGAUGAAGAUUAACAAGUAGCUGUGAUACUCAAAGCCCCUACUCCUUCAGGAAUGCCUAUUAAUAACUCCAUUGCGUAAUGGUUUGUAAAGCUUGUUGUUUUAAGAAUCUCUGGUGUCCUAUGAACCGGUCUUUUUGAGACUAGCUAGUCCAAAACAUGAAUAACAAAAUUUGACUUAUUCUUCUUUCCCUAUCUUCUGAAGGGGGAACUUGGUAGCUAGUGUAUGUAUUUUGAAUUUUUUGUUGGAAAAUUGUGAAGCACGUCAGUUUAUGUACCAUGAUACGGUUACAUAGUGAGGCAAAACCCAUUUGACAAUUGAGAUUUAACUAACGAAAAGGGAACAGAUAAAGUUUCCAAGA